This 355-nucleotide small RNA is filed under the name Arabidopsis thaliana (thale cress). RNAcentral's name for it is "ATSL110600". The record is from RNAcentral. Lineage: Eukaryota; Viridiplantae; Streptophyta; Magnoliopsida; Brassicales; Brassicaceae.
UUAUAUAUUUAUGUUGAUAAUUUAAUUUUUUGUAUUUAUCUAAUGAAUUAAAAUUUCUACAGCCAAGAAAAUAGGGCUUUGAGAGUUUACUCUACUACAACCUUAAAAACAAAAUAAAAAAUUUUUGGGCUGUAGGUUUAAAAAUAAAGCUACAGCACGAUUGGUUUGUAAUCAAGGCUUUAAGAAAAAUUAAUGCUGUAAGUAAGACUUAAAGCCCAACCAAUCAUGCACUUAAAUAUCAAAAUCUAAUUAUACAAUCUUAAAGGAAACGAUAUACAUGAAGGAUUAUAUGGUAGGACGGAUUUUGGUCGAUAAUAUUACGAGAUGGUAUAUGACUGGUGAAAUUAUAAAAUAA